UACGGAGGGAGCUAGCGUUGUUCGGAAUUACUGGGCGUAAAGCGCACGUAGGCGGCUACUCAAGUCAGAGGUGAAAGCCCAGGGCUCAACCUUGGAACUGCCUUUGAAACUAGGUAGCUAGAAUUCUGGAGAGGUCAGUGGAAUUCCGAGUGUAGAGGUGAAAUUCGUAGAUAUCUGGAGGAACACCAGCGGCGAAGGCGGCGUCCUGGACUGGUCCUGACACUCAGGAGCGAAAGCGUGGGGAGCGAUCCGG
Molecule: ribosomal RNA, 253 nt
Filed under: uncultured bacterium
Lineage: Bacteria
Description: partial 16S ribosomal RNA
Rfam family: Bacterial small subunit ribosomal RNA
Source: RNAcentral